RNAcentral lists this ribosomal RNA (700 nucleotides) under uncultured bacterium. RNAcentral's name for it is "bacterial SSU rRNA". It matches the Rfam family "Bacterial small subunit ribosomal RNA", at positions 105 to 801 of the family's 1533-position model. The record is from RNAcentral.
GGUGAGUAAUGUCUGGGAAACUGCCUGAUGGAGGGGGAUAACUACUGGAAACGGUAGCUAAUACCGCAUAACGUCUUCGGACCAAAGUGGGGGACCUUCGGGCCUCACGCCAUCAGAUGUGCCCAGAUGGGAUUAGCUAGUAGGUGGGGUAAUGGCUCACCUAGGCGACGAUCCCUAGCUGGUCUGAGAGGAUGACCAGCCACACUGGAACUGAGACACGGUCCAGACUCCUACGGGAGGCAGCAGUGGGGAAUAUUGCACAAUGGGCGCAAGCCUGAUGCAGCCAUGCCGCGUGUGUGAAGAAGGCCUUCGGGUUGUAAAGCACUUUCAGCGAGGAGGAAGGGUAGUGUGUUAAUAGCACAUCGCAUUGACGUUACUCGCANAAGAAGCACCGGCUAACUCCGUGCCAGCAGCCGCGGUAAUACGGAGGGUGCAAGCGUUAAUCAGAAUUACUGGGCGUAAAGCGCACGCAGGCGGUUUGUUAAGUCAGAUGUGAAAUCCCCGCGCUUAACGUGGGAACUGCAUUUGAAACUGGCAAGCUAGAGUCUUGUAGAGGGGGGUAGAAUUCCAGGUGUAGCGGUGAAAUGCGUAGAGAUCUGGAGGAAUACCGGUGGCGAANGCGGCCCCCUGGACAAAGACUGACGCUCANGUGCGAAAGCGUGGGGAGCAAACAGGANUAGAUACCCUGGUAGUCCACGCU